UCUGUUUCACGUUCUGCAAAAUCCGUUGCGGCAACGAUAAUUGCAAUUUCAUUAAUUGCUAUCGCUGGAGCAUCAAAGCAUCUUCCUGUUGACCAAUAGCUAAGUAAUAAUUAAAUAUAUCAAGGUUAUUUAAAAAAUAUUAUCCUGUACUAUGUAAUAGAAAUCCUAUUUAUGUAUUCUCGGUGGCUUUCCGUCUAAUUGUGAGCAAUCUUUAUUAAAUCUAGGCCAAUUCAUUGUUUUGUUAACCAGUGUAAGAAAUCCUAUUUAUGUAUUCUCGUUCGCUUUCCGUCUAAUUGUGAGCAAUCUUUAUUAAAUCUAGGCCAAUUCAUUGUUUUGUUAACCAGUGUGAGAAUAUUGCAGCUCGACUGUUCGAGAGAUAAAUUCCUGACAAUGAAAUGGACGUAUGGACAUAACUAAAUCUAUUUAUCUUGCAUUGCUAAUCAAUAAUGUAUAUGGAUUAAAUAGCAACAAAUACGUUCUUUAAUCGUAAUUGGUUCCGAAAUUUCAAGACUAUCUUGGAAACUA
Long non-coding RNA from Teleopsis dalmanni, 525 nucleotides. RefSeq lists it as uncharacterized. The transcript has 4 exons. The record is from RefSeq and is a predicted model, not a curated record. Lineage: Eukaryota; Metazoa; Arthropoda; Insecta; Diptera; Diopsidae.